AUCCCUUCUCUGCAAUAGUCCACCCAGUUUCAAGGAGGUCAUUUCAACUUGUAAUCCUGUCAGCGUGCUUAUAAAGGGCUGUGUGGGGAGCUGGCCUGGCUAGCAGGCGAGAGCGUGAACCCUGCCAGUCCCCGUUUUGAGCUGGAGGAAGCGGAUGCUGCAGGAGGACGACGGCGCAGGGCAGUCCCGGAGGCUGGGACUGAUGCUGGGUGGUGCUUGGAGAUAAAGAACAGCAUCUUCCCACGAGCCACCUUCUGUAUUCGUUACGGCCGGAGACAAAGGCUGGCAGGCUGACUGGAGAAGACAUUUCUUUCUGGCUCUGAGUUGCACUGUUCUGCCCUAAAGCUGUCGAAAGGAAAUAUGUUUGUUGUUAUUCACUUGAGGCCACAACAAAUGUACUGCCUGGAUAUGGAGUCUUACAUGAAAACAAAAGCCAUCCUCUGGCAGCCAUGACAUCCUACGCCUGUGAUGGAAAUGACUGGAGAGGCUCACAGCUGAGAAAAGCAACUUUAAAAAUAGACAGGCUCAUCCGUGAUGUCUGGAGAUGCAAAUACUUCGCCUCCCGCUGAGCCACGGUGUUGUGAGGACAACCCUAUGACACAGGUGAGAUGACAGUGGAAGAUUUCCACUCCACAGACAGUAGAGCGGCCAUUUCCCACUAAUGAGAGCUGUGUGUUGCCGUGCAUGUUUUCAGAGGCUGGGGAAGGCACCGCUGGGCUAAAACUUGGCAGAAAAUUUUUCCAGGAAUGAGAAGCUCUCUGAGAUUGGCAACUGGAAACGACGAAAAGGACGGGAGCAAAUUCACCUGUGAGAAACCUGCUGGAAGUUAAAUCUUCGCCUUUGCCGCUCUCCGGAGCGUGCUGCCUUCGUGGUUAAGCCCCUCUUCCUCAGGCAGUGAGAGCCCCGCACACAAACGCUCACUGUCCAGACAGACUUCGGACCGUGCUGCGAUAGCUAGGCUGUCCGGUAGUCUAGGACUCACUAAUACAGGACUUUUUCCACCUCGCUCAGGAGCAGGGAUCUGGAAGGUGGCUCUGAGAGACGUUUUG
Molecule: long non-coding RNA, 1049 nt
Organism: Aquila chrysaetos chrysaetos
Lineage: Eukaryota; Metazoa; Chordata; Aves; Accipitriformes; Accipitridae
Exons: 5
Source: RefSeq, a predicted model, not a curated record